CAUGCAAGUCAACUUGAAUUUGGGUUUUAACUUAAGUUUGGGUGGCGGACGGGUGAGUAACGCGUAAAGAACUUGCCUCACGGCUAGGGACAACAUUUGGAAACGAAUGCUAAUACCUAAUAUUAUGAUAAUAGGGCAUCCUAUAAUUAUGAAAGCUAUAAGCGCUGUGAGAGAGCUUUGCGUCCCAUUAGCUAGUUGGAGAGGUAACGGCUCACCAAGGCGAUGAUGGGUAGCCGGCCUGAGAGGGUGAUCGGCCACAAGGGGACUGAGACACGGCCCUUACUCCUACGGGAGGCAGCAGUGGGGAAUAUUGGACAAUGGACCAAGAGUCUGAUCCAGCAAUUCUGUGUGCACGAUGAAGUUUUUCGGAAUGUAAAGUGCUUUCAGUUGGGAAGAAAGAAAUGACGGUACCAACAGAAGAAGUGACGGCUAAAUACGUGCCAGCAGCCGCGGUAAUACGUAUGUCACGAGCGUUAUCCGGAUUUAUUGGGCGUAAAGCGCGUCUAGGUGGUUAUGUAAGUCUGAUGUGAAAAUGCAGGGCUCAACUCUGUAUUGCGUUGGAAACUGUAUAACUAGAGUACUGGAGAGGUAAGCGGAACUACAAGUGUAGAGGUGAAAUUCGUAGAUAUUUGUAGGAAUGCCGAUGGGGAAGCCAGCUUACUGGACAGAUACUGACGCUGAAGCGCGAAAGCGUGGGUAGCAAACAGGAUUAGAUACCCUGGUAGUCCACGCCGUAAACGAUGAUUACUAGGUGUUGGGGGUCGAACCUCAGCGCCCAAGCAAACGCGAUAAGUAAUCCGCUGGGGAGUACG
Molecule: ribosomal RNA, 812 nt
Filed under: uncultured Fusobacterium sp.
Lineage: Bacteria; Fusobacteriati; Fusobacteriota; Fusobacteriia; Fusobacteriales; Fusobacteriaceae
Description: bacterial SSU rRNA
Rfam family: Bacterial small subunit ribosomal RNA
Source: RNAcentral